CAGCCGCCACGGGAAAACGGAGGGGGCUAGCGUUGUUCGGAAUUACUGGGCGUAAAGCGCACGUAGGCGGCUUGGAAAGUUGGAGGUGAAAGCCCAGAGCUCAACUCUGGAAUUGCCUUCAAAACUCCCAAGCUAGAGUUCGGAAGAGGAGAGUGGAAUUCCCAGUGUAGAGGUGAAAUUCGUAGAUAUUGGGAAGAACACCAGUGGCGAAGGCGGCUCUCUGGUCCGAUACUGACGCUGAGGUGCGAAAGCGUGGGGAGCAAACAGGAUUAGAUACCCCUGUAGUCCCUGUCUCUUAUAC
Molecule: ribosomal RNA, 301 nt
Filed under: uncultured bacterium
Lineage: Bacteria
Description: partial 16S ribosomal RNA
Rfam family: Bacterial small subunit ribosomal RNA
Source: RNAcentral